GCCGCGCGGACACCACCGGGGCGGGGCUGCAGGGCCCGCCGCCCCAUUGGGCCUUGCCGGGGAGGAGGCGGGGCCAGGGCCGCCGACGCUUCCAGCGUCCCGCGGGAGCCGGGACCCGGCGGCCAGGCCCGGCUGGUGCUUCUCUGGGCGUCGCUGAAAGCCCCGCUCCGCAGGAGCAUUCCUUCCUUCUGAGUACGGGGCAGGACUCUCUGGGAUGGAGGGGUCUUAUGACCUGCAAGCAAACAAGGAGAAAGAGGGAGAAACCACAGCCUCUAUUUAUUGUGCUGGUCUGGAAUUCCUGGUGAUGGUAACUAUUGGCCCUGAAAGCUGCUGCAGAGAAAGAUGGUGUUUAAAGGAAAGGGGCUUAGAUCCUCCCAUUUGGGAUGGAGUUUCACUUUGUCGCCCAGUCUGGAGUGCAGUGGCGUGAUCUCAGCUCACUAUGACCUCCACCUCCCAGGUUCAAGCAAUUCUCCUGCCUCAGCCUCCUGAGUAGCUGAGAUUAUAGGUGUACGCCACCAUGCCCAGAUGGAGUCUCCCUCUGUCGCCAGGCUGGAGUGCAAUGGCGUGAUUUCGGCUCACUGCAACCUCUGCCUCCCGGGUUCAAGCGAUUCUCCUGCCUCAGCCUCCCAAGUAGCUGGGACUACAGGCAUGUCCCACCACGUCCAGCUAAUUUUUAUAUUUUUAGUAGAGAUGGGAUUUCACCAUGUUGGCCAGGAUGGUCUCAAUCUUUUGACCUCGUGAUCUGCCCAUCUCGGCCUCCCAAAGUGCUGGGAUUACAGGCGUGAACCAUCGCAUCCGGCCUAAAUAAAUAUUUCUAAAACAUAUUCAUUUCUAACUUUUAACUCAGUAAAUAUGGUUAUAUAUAACCCAUAAAUGCAAAACCUCUUUGGAAUCCUCAAAAACAAUGUAUGUAAAAGGAUGCCAGUAAAACCACCUCUGCAAAAAUUCUAACAGUGAGAGAAAUAUAAUAUAACUGACUUCAUCUUGCUUCUAACCUCACAAGCUAACUGCCUUUGCUCAUUCCUGGGCAUAGGCCAAGCUAACUACGGGAAGAAUUUUGUUUAUAGUUUAACCUUAAAGCAAAGAUUAGCCUGGCACAGUGGCUCAUGCCUGUAAUCUAAGCACUUUGGGAGGCUGAGGCUGGAGGAUCACUUGAAGCCAGGGGUUUGAGACCAGCCUGAACAACAGAGUGAGACCCUGUUUCUACAGAAAAAAAAAAAAAAGAGAGAGA
Long non-coding RNA from Symphalangus syndactylus (siamang), 1231 nucleotides. RefSeq lists it as uncharacterized. The record is from RefSeq and is a predicted model, not a curated record. NCBI's taxonomy places the organism in Eukaryota, Metazoa, Chordata, Mammalia, Primates, Hylobatidae.